Molecule: non-coding RNA, 274 nt
Organism: Cinara cedri
Lineage: Eukaryota; Metazoa; Arthropoda; Insecta; Hemiptera; Aphididae
Source: the annotation of a GenBank genome assembly
AAAAAAAAAUAAAAAAUAAACAUCAUAGUAAAACCAAUACAUUUCUCGCUCUACUCAGAAUCUAAAACAAUUUUAUAAUACUAUUUAAUAUAUACGUUACGUAUAAUUAUUAAUAGCAUAGUGUUCAAUUGUAUCGUGUUUAAUGCAAUGCGGUCGAAUAAAACUGAAACUUGGGGAGAGAUUUCGAUAAAAAAAAUAUAUUAUAAUAAGCCUAAUAGGUUUUAACCCUAAAGGGUUAGUAGAGGCGUUAACGGAAUGUAAACGUAGCAUACUU